Molecule: long non-coding RNA, 1040 nt
Filed under: Equus asinus (donkey)
Lineage: Eukaryota; Metazoa; Chordata; Mammalia; Perissodactyla; Equidae
Description: lncRNA (ENSEASG00005028229.1)
Source: RNAcentral
GGUAUUUGCACACCAUUUUUGUUCAUCUUUCAUCGUAGGCUCUUCUACCUGCUGUCCUUGAGAGGGGAACUGCUAGGUUGCUCAGCUAGAGCAUUGCGCUCGCACUCAGCGAACACUGAGAAACCGCCACUGGUUCUCCCCAAACUUCACACUUGGAAGUUCACCAGAGUGCAGACUCCCCUCUGGCCUUCCCACGCCACCAAAUCCCUGAAAGGUCUGAGCCCAGACAUCAGCCUUGUCAUCCCAGGAAAGGUCUGAGCCCAGACAUCAGCCUCCUCAUCCUAGGAAAGGUCUGAGCCCAGACAUCAGCCUUGUCAUCCCAGGAAAGGUCUUUUCACGCACCUGAGAUCAGGUCAAAAGGUCGAGUCCUUCACUGUUCUCAACAUCAAGUAGCAGGACACCAGGAUACUGUGGUCCUCCCCCAGCAGGCCAAGGCCAUCAGGCCUCACACCACUCUUAGGAGAUGAGCAUCCAUUAUGUGCAGUUUUGUGUUUUACGCAUGUACAGACACUUCUGGCAAGAUGAUACUUUGCACAGUUCAGAAUCAGCUUGAAGAGCAGUCUAGUAAAACCACUCAUUUUGGGUUCUUAGAUAGGAUGACACGACGUGAGCCCAGUACGGAAAUGAACGUUAUCAGUGCCCUUUGAGAAUGGUGAGUUUCCAGCACUCAUGUUUCUCCAGAAAGGGCAGCGGUCUCCCUUCUCCAAAGUCUUUCCCAGAAGAGUCACCAGAGCCGGAGCGGAAGCCCGCCACGAGCCACACGCCCCUGGGGCGGGACAGUGACCUGCUGCAGCGGUCCUUGGGCCCUCCCUCCAGUUCACACGGGACUUGGUGAGGACAUAAGCUACUGCACGCUCAGUGUGGCUUCCAAUUCCUCUGUAUUUGAAAGCAGCUGUGUGUAUUUUCCUCAAAAUGCCCUCUAUAUUCAGAGCAAGCAGUGUGAAUAUCACUCAGAAGUUACUACAGGGAUUUUUCUGACAAGGUUUGUGUGGGUUUUUAAAAUCUUAUACAAACAUCCCUUUUUAAGAUAAGAGAACAGC